Molecule: ribosomal RNA, 392 nt
Filed under: uncultured Gammaproteobacteria bacterium
Lineage: Bacteria; Pseudomonadati; Pseudomonadota; Gammaproteobacteria
Description: bacterial SSU rRNA
Rfam family: Bacterial small subunit ribosomal RNA
Source: RNAcentral
AAUGGAGGAAACUCUGAUCCAGCAAUGCCGCGUGUGUGAUGAAGGCCUUAGGGUUGUAAAGCACUUUCAACGGUGAAGAUGAUGACGGUAGCCGUAGAAGAAGCCCCGGCUAACUUCGUGCCAGCAGCCGCGGUAAUACGAAGGGGGCGAGCGUUGUUCGGAAUUAUUGGGCGUAAAGGGCGCGCAGGCGGUUUGGAUAGUUAGACGUGAAAGCCCUGGGCUUAACCUAGGAACUGCGUUUAAUACUGCCAAACUAGAGAACUAGAGAGGAUAGCGGAACUCCCAGUGUAGAGGUGAAAUUCGUAGAUAUUGGGAAGAACAUCAGUGGCGAAAGCGGCUGUCUGGCUAGUUUCUGACGCUGAGGCGCGAAAGCGUGGGGAGCAAACAGGAUU